RNAcentral lists this ribosomal RNA (550 nucleotides) under uncultured Geobacter sp. RNAcentral describes it as "bacterial SSU rRNA". It matches the Rfam family "Bacterial small subunit ribosomal RNA", at positions 67 to 596 of the family's 1533-position model. Lineage: Bacteria; Pseudomonadati; Thermodesulfobacteriota; Desulfuromonadia; Geobacterales; Geobacteraceae. The record is from RNAcentral.
CGUGAUCCGCCCUUCGGGGUGGUGAAAGUGGCGCACGGGUGAGUAACGCGUGGAUAAUCUGCCCGAGGAUUUGGGAUAACAUCUCGAAAGGGGUGCUAAUACCGAAUAAGCCCACGGGGUCUACGGAUCUUGCGGGAAAAGGGGGGGACCUUCGGGCCUCCUGUCCUUGGAUGAGUCUGCGUACCAUUAGCUAGUUGGUGGGGUAAUGGCCUACCAAGGCGACGAUGGUUAGCUGGUCUGAGAGGAUGAUCAGCCACACUGGAACUGAGACACGGUCCAGACUCCUACGGGAGGCAGCAGUGGGGAAUUUUGCGCAAUGGGGGAAACCCUGACGCAGCAACGCCGCGUGGGUGAUGAAGGCCUUCGGGUCGUAAAGCUCUGUCUGGAGGGAAGAAAUGAUUGGGAGCUAAUACCUCUUGAUCUUGACGGUACCUCUGAAGGAAGCACCGGCUAACUCCGUGCCAGCAGCCGCGGUAAUACGGAGGGUGCAAGCGUUGUUCGGAAUUAUUGGGCGUAAAGCGCGUGUAGGCGGUCUUUUAAGUCUGAUGUG